UAGUCAUAUGCUUGUCUUAAAGACUAAGCCAUGCAUGUCUAAGUAUAAGUAUUAUACAGCGAAACUGCGAAUGGCUCAUUAAAACAGUUAUAGUUUAUUCGAUUAUUUUCUCCUACAUGGAUAACCGUAGUAAUUCUAGAGCUAAUACAUGCUGUCAAACCUGACUUUUGUGGAUAAGGUUGUAUUUAUUAGAUAUAAAACCAAUACCUCUUGGGGUUUUGUGAUGAUUCAUAAUAACUGAGCGGAUCGUGGUCUCACCACGACGAAUCGUUCAAGUU
RNAcentral lists this ribosomal RNA (278 nucleotides) under uncultured eukaryote. RNAcentral's name for it is "partial 18S ribosomal RNA". It matches the Rfam family "Eukaryotic small subunit ribosomal RNA", at positions 21 to 305 of the family's 1831-position model. The record is from RNAcentral.